RNAcentral lists this ribosomal RNA (263 nucleotides) under uncultured bacterium. Its description in RNAcentral is "partial 16S ribosomal RNA". The record is from RNAcentral.
CUGCUGCCUCCCGUAGGAGUUUGGGCCGUGUCUCAGUCCCAAUGUGGCCGGCCACCCUCUCAGGUCGGCUACUGAUCGUCGCCUUGGUGGGCCGUUACCCCGCCAACCAGCUAAUCAGACGCGGGUCCAUCUCAUACCACCGGAGUUUUUCACACCGGACCAUGCGGUCCUGUGCGCUUAUGCGGUAUUAGCAGUCAUUUCUAACUGUUAUCCCCCUGUAUGAGGCAGGUUACCCACGCGUUACUCACCCGUCCGCCGCUAAG